GUCACUUCGGUGGCGAGUACAGUGGCGCACGGGUGAGUAACGCGUAGAUGAUCUACCCUUCAGUCUGGGACAACUCUUGGAAACGGGAGCUAAUACCGGGUAAAACCUUCGGGUUGAAAGAUUUAUCGCUGGGGGAUGAGUCUGCGUACCAUUAGCUUGUUGGUGGGGUAACGGCCUACCAAGGCGACGAUGGUUAGCGGGUCUGAGAGGACGAUCCGCCACACUGGAACUGAGACACGGUCCAGACUCCUACGGGAGGCAGCAGUAGGGAAUAUUGCGCAAUGGGGGCAACCCUGACGCAGCAAUGCCGCGUGAGUGAAGAAGGCCUUCGGGUCGUAAAGCUCUUUUAUGGGGGAAGAUGAUGACGGUACCCCAUGAAUAAGCACCGGCUAACUACGUGCCAGCAGCCGCGGUAAUACGUAGGGUGCGAGCGUUGUUCGGAAUUACUGGGCGUAAAGGGCGUGCAGGCGGAUUGGCAAGCCGGAGGUGAAAGCCCGGGGCUCAACCCCGGAGGGUCUUUCGGAACUGCCAGUCUUGAGAGGGUCAGGGGCCAGCGGAAUUCCUGGUGUAGAGGUGAAAUUCGUAGAGAUCAGGAGGAACACCGGCGGCGAAAGCGGCUGGCUGGGGCCACUCUGACGCUGAGGCGCGAA
RNAcentral lists this ribosomal RNA (650 nucleotides) under uncultured marine bacterium. Its description in RNAcentral is "bacterial SSU rRNA". It matches the Rfam family "Bacterial small subunit ribosomal RNA", at positions 74 to 757 of the family's 1533-position model. The record is from RNAcentral.